This 762-nucleotide long non-coding RNA is filed under the name Olea europaea subsp. europaea. Lineage: Eukaryota; Viridiplantae; Streptophyta; Magnoliopsida; Lamiales; Oleaceae. The record is from RNAcentral.
CUGUAUGUAUUUUUUGCCUUAAUCAAGAACAAGUGCUACAGUCUCUCUAAUUAACUUUUCUUGAAAUGAUUUGCAUUUUGUCUACCAAUUUCUAUAUUGUCUUCUUACUUCUGGAUUAUUCAAUUGUUGAUAUAUAUUCUGUAUGUAUUUUUUUCAAUGCUUAUAGAAUCAGAAGACAACAGAUUUGAUUGAAAAUAAUUUGUAUAGGAAAGUGCCGGCUCAUUGAAUGAUUCUUCUUUAGAACUUGAGAUCUUGAAAAUAAUGUCGCUUUCAAUUGAAAAUAAUGUUGUGUUCAGCUAUUUUAUAUUCUAGAGUAUGGUCAAGACUUUUUUUUGUCAUGUUCAAUUGCACUUGCACUAUAUUUAUGGAGAUUGAAUUCUGACUUUGAGCUUCUUGAAUUGCACUGUGCGCUAGAGUUUGCUCCAUGGCAGGAAGGAACAGAUGUAUAUGCCACAGCUGUAGAAAGCCGGGUCAUUUGUUGUCAGAAUCUUCGAGAAAGAGAAGAUGCCCAAAAAGUGGCGAGGGGUUCGUGAAGUGGAUGGAGGUGGAAAAAAAUAGUGAAAACAAAGGACGGCUAUUCCAUUGCUAUACUCGUGACUAUAAUCAUUUCAGGUGGUUUGAUGUUUUGCCAUAUGAUGAUGAGCUAGUACAUUACGAAGGUGAAUCAAAUGGCUCUUCUUUGGGAUCAUAUAAGUUCACGAUCCAACUAUGGACUUGUCAAGUGUGUUCCAAAAAUGCAUUAAUGUAGUCAAUGAAAAUGAC